RNAcentral lists this long non-coding RNA (267 nucleotides) under Oryza brachyantha (malo sina). RNAcentral describes it as "long non-coding RNA (OBRA_LNC000801)". Lineage: Eukaryota; Viridiplantae; Streptophyta; Magnoliopsida; Poales; Poaceae. The record is from RNAcentral.
AUCGCCGUCGCCGCUGCAUCCGAGCGGCCACCGCCCUCGCCGUUGCAUCCGGGCGGCCGCCAUCGCCCCCUUCCCCGCGCCGCCCUGUCUUCCGCCUCCCCGCGCCUACCCCCUCCGGCGCUGCGCCGCCCCGACGUCUGCCUGUGCUGCCGCUUGCCUCACUCGACUGAGAGGAAGAAAAGCAAAGGGAAAUAGAGAAAGUGAAAAAAUAAAGAGCGAGAGAGAGAGGGGGGAGGGAGAGAAAAAAAAGAAGAGGCUGACAGGGUG